CCUACGGGUGGCUGCAGUGAGGAAUAUUGGUCAAUGGGGGAAACCCUGAUGCAGCGACGCCGCGUGAGUGAAGAAGUAAUUCGUUAUGUAAAGCUCUAUCAGCAGGGAAGAAAAUGACGGUACCUGAGUAAGAAGCCCCGGUUAACUACGUACCAGCAGCCGCGGUAAUACGUAGGGGUCAAGCGUUAUCCGGAUUUACUGGGGGGAAAGGGAGGGUAGACGGGAGUGCAAGUCGGGAGUGAAAGGCGGGGGCUCAACCCCCGGACUGCUCUGGAAACUGUACGGCUGGAGUGCAGGAGAGGUAAGUGGAAUUCCUAGUGUAGCGGUGAAAUGCGUAGAUAUUAGGAGGAACACCAGUGGCGAAGGCGGCUUACUGGACUGUAACUGACGUUGAGGCUCGAAAGCGUGGGGAGCAAACAGGAUUAGAUACCCUGGUAGUC
This 440-nucleotide ribosomal RNA is filed under the name uncultured bacterium. RNAcentral describes it as "partial 16S ribosomal RNA". It matches the Rfam family "Bacterial small subunit ribosomal RNA", at positions 338 to 795 of the family's 1533-position model. The record is from RNAcentral.